UAACUAAGCUGUUCUUUUUCAAAGACAGCAGGUGCAAUCAGCGUAAUGGUUUUAACAGACCGCCUGCCGAGAAUGGGAGCAUACGAUAACCGAUUUUUCGGGUCAAUAUUUGUAUGUCAUAUCCCUGUUCACGGUAAGUGGACAGGGAUUAAUUUUCGUUUAU
This is a regulatory RNA element of Ruminococcus sp. CAG:563, 163 nucleotides long. It matches the Rfam family "Ribosomal protein L10 leader". Rfam says of the family: This family is a putative r-protein leader autoregulatory structure found in B. subtilis and other low-GC Gram-positive bacteria. It is located in the 5' untranslated regions of mRNAs encoding ribosomal proteins L10 and L12 (rplJ-rplL). A Rho-independent transcription terminator structure that is probably involved in regulation is included at the 3' end. The record is from Rfam. NCBI's taxonomy places the organism in Bacteria, Bacillati, Bacillota, Clostridia, Eubacteriales, Oscillospiraceae.